Molecule: ribosomal RNA, 497 nt
Filed under: uncultured bacterium
Lineage: Bacteria
Description: partial 16S ribosomal RNA
Rfam family: Bacterial small subunit ribosomal RNA
Source: RNAcentral
GAUGAACGCUGGCGGCGUGCCUAAUACAUGCAAGUCGAGCGAACAGACGAGGAGCUUGCUCCUCUGACGUUAGCGGCGGACGGGUGAGUAACACGUGGAUAACCUACCUAUAAGACUGGGAUAACUUCGGGAAACCGGAGCUAAUACCGGAUAAUAUAUUGAACCGCAUGGUUCAAUAGUGAAAGACGGUUUUGCUGUCACUUAUAGAUGGAUCCGCGCCGCAUUAGCUAGUUGGUAAGGUAACGGCUUAGCAAGGCAACGAUGCGUAGCCGACCUGAGAGAGUGAUCGGCCACACUGGAACUGAGACACGGUCCAGACUCCUACGGGAGGCAGCAGUAGGGAAUCUGCCGCAAUGGGCGAAAGCCUGACGGAGCAACGCCGCGUGAGUGAUGAAGGUCUUCGGAUCGUAAAACUCUGUUAUUAGGGAAGAACAAAUGUGUAAGUAACUAUGCACGUCUUGACGGUACCUAAUCAGAAAGCCACGGCUAACUACGUG